GGUGAUUUGGCUCAGUGGUAGAGCGCUUGCCUAGGAAGCGCAAGGUCCUGGGUUCGAUCCCCAGCCCCG
This 69-nucleotide transfer RNA is filed under the name Rattus norvegicus (Norway rat). It matches the Rfam family "tRNA". From Rfam's summary of the family: Transfer RNA (tRNA) molecules are approximately 80 nucleotides in length. Their secondary structure includes four short double-helical elements and three loops (D, anti-codon, and T loops). Further hydrogen bonds mediate the characteristic L-shaped molecular structure. tRNAs have two regions of fundamental functional importance: the anti-codon, which is responsible for specific mRNA codon recognition, and the 3' end, to which the tRNAs corresponding amino acid is attached (by aminoacyl-tRNA synthetases). tRNAs cope with the degeneracy of the genetic code in two manners: having more than one tRNA (with a specific anti-codon) for a particular amino acid; and 'wobble' base-pairing, i.e. permitting non-standard base-pairing at the 3rd anti-codon position. The record is from Rfam by way of RNAcentral. Lineage: Eukaryota; Metazoa; Chordata; Mammalia; Rodentia; Muridae.